AACUUACACCCCUGACGUGGUUGAUUCUGUCGCUACUUAUUAUGAUUAUCGUCCUAAAGAGGUGACUUCAGGGGUU
This 76-nucleotide non-coding RNA is filed under the name Paramoeba aestuarina. Lineage: Eukaryota; Discosea; Flabellinia; Dactylopodida; Paramoebidae. The record is from RNAcentral.